Molecule: long non-coding RNA, 2995 nt
Filed under: Venturia canescens
Lineage: Eukaryota; Metazoa; Arthropoda; Insecta; Hymenoptera; Ichneumonidae
Description: uncharacterized LOC122414398
Source: RNAcentral
UCGUGCUGCGUACGAUGACAUUUUUAUUAAUUUAAUCGGACGAACGAUGUCAAAGAGGUUCAAUUUCAAAAAUUCGAGGUGUGAUUACCGACUGAUCCAUCGUCUUAAGGCUCGUGAACCAGUUGUACUUUGGCCUAUUAUUUUCCGACACAUGUAAAGCUACUAACUGGUUCAGGCAAACUCUCGGGUAUCGGUGUGAGGACAUUUUCAGGAUUUUCAUUAGGAAGAUUAGAGUUCUUUUCAAUAACAAUUGUGUGACCGCGGAGUUACCGGUUUCUAAUCUAACCAUGUAACCUGUUUGAGGCCCCAAAUAUUUGAUCCAUGCAGUAACGUUGAGUCUACAACGCUCAGCAGUUUUUUCCUUGCUUCCCGCAGUCGUUCAUUUUGGCCACAAUCCGCCAAAUCACUCCUAGUGCUAUUCUCGUUUUAGAUAUAGUUUCUUUGCAAGCUUCAUAUAUUUGAUCCGGCGUAUUUUCUUCGUUCGACCAGCUUUCUUAUAAAUCAUAACUUUGGUUUUAUAUUAAUUUACGACCAGACUAUUUUCUUCACAAUAUAUUCCUAGAGUAUCUAGUUUUCUCUGGAGAUUUAAUACAUCUCGCGACAAUAAUAUUAGAUCGUUUGUAAAAAGCAAAAUCUCCAUGUUUUCUUUGAUUCUCUUAUGACCGUGGGCUUGGAAAAAACUUUCGAUAUCUGUUAGCAGCGGGGAAAACAACGCUGGGCUUGCGGGACCUCCCUGUAAAACUCCAGCCGUAGUUUCUAUAACAUUAGAUUUUUUUUAUUUCAUUGAUUCUAAUCCUGAAGGAGGCCGCUGUGUAAAAGUUGGAGUGUACGGAUUAUUUUUGUGCUGAAUCCAGCUCUGUGCAACUUAUCCCAUAAAACUCCGUGCAUCACUGAGUCGAAAGUGCGCUUAAAAUCCACAAAGGCUGCGUAUAGUUUACCUCUCGGUUGGGACAGUGCUAGGCCAAUUUAAAUAUUGAGUACGAAUGUAUUAUCGUCACAGGAUCGCCUGGGUCGAAACGCUGCUUGAGCCUCGGGUAAGAUGUCGAAUUUUUCGCACCAUGAAUUAAGUCUUUUAGCAAUUAUCGUGGUGAAGAGGUUUGCUGUUGAAUUUGCUAGGGUUAUUCCUCUAUAAUUUAACGGGUCGUUGCGGCGUCACCUUUUUUAUGAAACGUGACUAUUUCAGAUUCUGCACAUCCUGUCGGUAUGUUUGCUGUUGCCUAAAAUUUUGUCAAUUAGAGCAAUUAUCUUUAUCAGCCACUUCGUCGUUAUUGGUAGUGCUUUAUAAAAUUCUGUUGCGAUCGAAUCUGGACCUGGGGCUUUUCUUACUUUUGCUUUGCUCGAUACCUUUAAAACCUCGUCAACUGUAAUUUCAUCAUCUGGAAUCGGGACUCUAGUUUCUAAAAAAUUCCUGUCUGCGUCGGUUCUCUAAGGGGCAAAAGGUCGUCAUAGAAUUUCUGCCAGUCUUCAUCCGAGAUAGGGCAAGGUUUAAAAUUUCUCAGUUUAAAACGUUUAAAAGUCGACCAAAAAGUGCAUUUCCAGCAUUUGACAUAGCUUGUUGUCUUUCUUUUAUGAAUUCUUUUUUCUUGGUUUUGAUGAGUUGAAUAUAAUCUUUUCUUGCUUGUGUGUAAUCUAUCAGAUGUAUCGGGUUUUUCGAACAUUUUCCAUUUGCGAUACGCUUGGUUGGUGCUGGUUUUCUUUGAACGGUAUUCUUUGUUGAACCAGAGUUUGUUACGGCUAAAUCCUUGUUUUUUUUUAAUUUUAUGAAACAUGUUUAGUUCUCGCGCUACUGCAGAUUUAAUUGCUUCAGAGAUUCUAUGUUGCUAUCUGUUGAUAUUUUGUAUAACAAUUGAGAUAACCGAUCACUGUAUCUAUCAGCUUGUUCAGAGUUCCAUCAUCUAAGUGUUUGAGUUGUAACCUCUAGAACCGCGGAUAAGGAAAUAUCAGAUCGGCCCUAUUUGUCCAGGCCUAGUCUAUUGUUGUAUUGCUUUUACCCCAAAACGUAAAUUCCCCUUUACUGUCCGAAUUAUAACGUCCGUUUAGCGUCAUGCCUUUAAAGCUUCAUUUUCAAUUUCCAGUUAUUCAUUUUCUAUUUCAGUUUUCUUCAUUGUUUUCUUGGAAUCUUUCCAAGAUUUCCUUAAAUCUCUGCGUAAUCAAUCUUUAUUUUUUUUACGUGUCUGAUGUGAGGCCUCGAAAUAUUUUAAGAACUUUCGAGAGGUCCGACACGAAUGCUUCAUCUCGUAAGAUAACUUUAGAUUUCUGAUUGUUUGCGUUGUGAUCCGUUUUUAUUGUGUAAGUUAUCCUUAAUUUUCGUGUCGGACUUGCCGCUGCGUGUGCCGCUUCUUCUCCCGACCAUGUUAGACCGCGCUGUUCCUAACCUCACUCUUGAUUUUGUUUUCAGCUAAUAUAUUCAGUUAUGUCGCACCUUUACCAACUAUGAUGUACAUUUCCACUCACUAAAUCCGUGAUUCCGAAUCUUCUUAACCACUAAUUUUGAUCUACUAUUUGCACUUUUUCACUUUUCAACUCUUUAUUUGGGAGCCUCAAGAAAGCCACCGGUAUACAAUACCGACCUUCCCAGCGUUUUCCCCCGUUAUUAUAAAAUGUAUGAUGAAAUGUGAGAAAAAUCUUUAUUUUAACAUCCUAGCGUCUGAGACAAGAAGUCUGUAAUAGUUGUUGUUGUUGUUGUUCUUUUAUUAUUAUAUUUAAUCUAUGUCUAUAUCUCUACGAGUCCUGUCGACGACGGAACAGAGCUUGAUCGAUAAUUUUAAUUGAACUACUCUUCUGAACAUCCGUAUACGGAAUUAAAAGAGAAAAAAAAAAUACAAACGUUUCGUCAAAUUUUUCGUUUGAACGAAAUUCUUAAUAUCAAUGAAUGCGUGUCUGCGUGUAUGUUCGAUGAGGUUUUAAAAAGAACACUCGUAUGUACAGUAUUAUAAAUGUCGGCGAUAGUGCUAUCGUCAAUCGUUCUGCGAAAAUAAAUUAUUUUACUAUUAAA